RNAcentral lists this ribosomal RNA (556 nucleotides) under Agrococcus sp. m9-4. Its description in RNAcentral is "bacterial SSU rRNA". It matches the Rfam family "Bacterial small subunit ribosomal RNA", at positions 872 to 1429 of the family's 1533-position model. Lineage: Bacteria; Bacillati; Actinomycetota; Actinomycetes; Micrococcales; Microbacteriaceae. The record is from RNAcentral.
CCUGGGGAGUACGGCCGCAAGGCUAAAACUCAAAGGAAUUGACGGGGGCCCGCACAAGCGGCGGAGCAUGCGGAUUAAUUCGAUGCAACGCGAAGAACCUUACCAAGGCGUGACAUAUACCGGAAACGGCCAGAGAUGGUCGCCCCGCAAGGUCGGUAUACAGGUGGUGCAUGGUUGUCGUCAGCUCGUGUCGUGAGAUGUUGGGUUAAGUCCCGCAACGAGCGCAACCCUCGUCCUAUGUUGCCAGCACGUCAUGGUGGGAACUCAUGGGAUACUGCCGGGGUCAACUCGGAGGAAGGUGGGGAUGAGGUCAAAUCAUCAUGCCCCUUAUGUCUUGGGCUUCACGCAUGCUACAAUGGCCGGUACAAUGGGCUGCGAUACCGCGAGGUGGAGCGAAUCCCAAAAAGCCGGUCUCAGUUCGGAUUGAGGUCUGCAACUCGACCUCAUGAAGUCGGAGUCGCUAGUAAUCGCAGAUCAGCAACGCUGCGGUGAAUACGUUCCCGGGCCUUGUACACACCGCCCGUCAAGUCAUGAAAGUCGGUAACACCCGAAGCCA